This is a non-coding RNA of Paramuricea clavata, 1179 nucleotides long. NCBI's taxonomy places the organism in Eukaryota, Metazoa, Cnidaria, Anthozoa, Malacalcyonacea, Plexauridae. The record is from the annotation of a GenBank genome assembly.
GGGAAAUUUGUCGUCGCUGACCAAAAAAUUGCGGGCAGAAACAAAGCUCAUUGCAUUUACAUUCAAAACAAAGCAGAAAGUUAGCAAGAAGCUGUUUUAGCUGACGAUUUUUUGCUUUCCAUUCAACGAUUUGCAAAUUAUUGGUUAUUCUUUUAAAAGUCGAUCAUGAAUUCUUUGUUUUGGGAUGAUUGUUUUGUAAUCGAGUGAUUGGAAGAAGUUAAUUUGGCGACGUGAACAUGGGAGUAAAUACCGUAUACGUCGAUCUAUGGCUUGUUUAAAACCGUAAUAAACGAAGAAAGACGUGAUUUGAGAAUGAAAUGUAAGUUGAAAUUAACUUUAUAUGCCUCAAAUUUUCCAUCCUAUGUUUCAUAAUGUAACUUCAGCUGUCUAAGUUCAAAAUACAAGCUCGCGAAAUUUGACAAAUUUUGAAAAUAUGUAAAAAUAGCUUGACUUUGAACUGUAGUUUCUCAAAAAUAGCCCGUGGCCUCAAUUUCAAAUAUAGCUAAAUGAAAAGAAAAAACUUUUCGGCGUUGGUAGGUAUCAAACAUAUCGUCAGGAAAAUAGGGGCUCACAAUGUUUUAGUUCAGUCUUUGAGACCCAGUUGCUUCGCACGUGUUGUGGUCAAAUUUUUGCCAAGAAUCAAAGGCCGAAAUGUGAACUUCCUUCAUGAAAACCGCUUCGAGAAGGGUCUAGUUUGAAAAUUUAGCUAUUAAUUUCGAUUUCAUGAGCAUAUUUUGGUUACACGUUAAGUAUUUUUGUGCUUGAUGAGAUUCAAAAUUUGUUGUAUAUUCAAGCCCGGCUUUUGUGUAAUUUUGGUGAUGACUGGAACAGAAAUAAAGAUAUUUUAAAAACUGGCCGUGGCCUCACGAUAAAACUUUCUACAAAUGUUCUCUGUUUCAUGUACUUUUAUUUGAUAUCUUAGGUAUAAGCGUAAAAAUAGGGGCUCAUACAGUUUAAGAGGUUGUAAAAUGCAUGACUUGCCUCUAUUUUCAUGUAAACAUUCGAAAUUCUUCGACAGCAAAGUAGCAACUGUUUCAGAUCGAAUGCACACGGACAGCCCACCAGAGACAAUGGCAGGGUACUGAAAUAGAACGUCACUAAAAAAUUCUGUAUGAUUAAUUUAGAUCAUGUCUACUCUUUCAACAUAAAACAGUCAUUUAUUUUGUACAAACAUUUGGC